RNAcentral lists this ribosomal RNA (465 nucleotides) under uncultured bacterium. RNAcentral's name for it is "partial 16S ribosomal RNA". It matches the Rfam family "Bacterial small subunit ribosomal RNA", at positions 338 to 795 of the family's 1533-position model. The record is from RNAcentral.
CCUACGGGUGGCUGCAGUGGGGAAUAUUGCGCAAUGGGCGAAAGCCUGACGCAGCGACGCCGCGUGAGGGAUGAAGGUCUUCGGAUCGUAAACCUCUGUCAGCAGGGAAGAACGGUCACUGUGCUAAUCAGCAGUGACUUGACGGUACCUGCAAAGGAAGCACCGGCUAACUCCGUGCCAGCAGCCGCGGUAAUACGGAGGGUGCGAGCGUUAAUCGGAAUUACUGGGCGUAAAGGGCUCGUAGGCGGUAUGGCAAGUCAAGGGUGAAAUCCCCGCGCUCAACGUGGGAACUGCCUUUGAAACUGGCAGACUGGAGUGUGUGAGAGGAUGGUGGAAUUCCAGGUGUAGGGGUGAAAUCCGUAGAUAUCUGGAGGAACAUCAGUGGCGAAGGCGACUAUCUGGCACAUAACUGACGCUGAGGAGCGAAAGCGUGGGUAGCAAACAGGAUUAGAUACCCCAGUAGUC